GAAAGAUGCUUUCGGGCAUAGUGGCGCACGGGUGCGUAACGCGUGGGAAUCUGCCCUUUGGUCUGGGAUAACUGUUGGAAACGACAGCUAAUACCGGAUGAUGACGUAAGUCCAAAGAUUUAUCGCCAGAGGAUGAGCCCGCGUCGGAUUAGCUAGUUGGUGGGGUAAAGGCCUACCAAGGCGACGAUCCGUAGCUGGUCUGAGAGGAUGAUCAGCCACACUGGGAGUGAGACACGGCCCAGACUCCUACGGGAGGCAGCAGUGGGGAAUAUUGGACAAUGGGCGAAAGCCUGAUCCAGCAAUGCCGCGUGAGUGAUGAAGGCCUUAGGGUUGUAAAGCUCUUUUACCCGGGAUGAUAAUGACAGUACCGGGAGAAUAAGCUCCGGCUAACUCCGUG
RNAcentral lists this ribosomal RNA (397 nucleotides) under uncultured bacterium. RNAcentral's name for it is "bacterial SSU rRNA". It matches the Rfam family "Bacterial small subunit ribosomal RNA", at positions 74 to 507 of the family's 1533-position model. The record is from RNAcentral.